RNAcentral lists this ribosomal RNA (301 nucleotides) under uncultured bacterium. Its description in RNAcentral is "partial 16S ribosomal RNA". It matches the Rfam family "Bacterial small subunit ribosomal RNA", at positions 509 to 807 of the family's 1533-position model. The record is from RNAcentral.
CAGCCGCCGCGGGAAUACCGAGGGUGCAAGCGUUAAUCGGAAUUACUGGGCGUAAAGCGCGCGUAGGUGGUUUGUUAAGUUGGAUGUGAAAGCCCCGGGCUCAACCUGGGAACUGCAUCCAAAACUGGCAAGCUAGAGUACGGUAGAGGGUGGUGGAAUUUCCUGUGUAGCGGUGAAAUGCGUAGAUAUAGGAAGGAACACCAGUGGCGAAGGCGACCACCUGGACUGAUACUGACACUGAGGUGCGAAAGCGUGGGGAGCAAACAGGAUUAGAUACCCCGGUAGUCCCUGUCUCUUAUAC